AACGAACGCUGGCGGCAUGCCUAACACAUGCAAGUCGAACGAGACCUUCGGGUCUAGUGGCGCACGGGUGCGUAACGCGUGGGAACCUGCCCUUAGGUUCGGAAUAACUCCCCGAAAGGGGUGCUAAUACCGGAUAAUGUCUUCGGACCAAAGAUUUAUCGCCUUUGGAUGGGCCCGCGUUGGAUUAGCUAGUUGGUAGGGUAAAAGCCUACCAAGGCGACGAUCCAUAGCUGGUCUGAGAGGAUGAUCAGCCACACUGGGACUGAGACACGGCCCAGACUCCUACGGGAGGCAGCAGUGGGGAAUAUUGGACAAUGGGCGAAAGCCUGAUCCAGCAAUGCCGCGUGAGUGAUGCAGGCCUUAGGGUUGUAAAGCUAUUUUACCCGGGAUGAUAAUGACAGUACCGGGAGAAUAAGCGCCGGCUAACUCCGUG
This 433-nucleotide ribosomal RNA is filed under the name uncultured bacterium. RNAcentral describes it as "partial 16S ribosomal RNA". It matches the Rfam family "Bacterial small subunit ribosomal RNA", at positions 29 to 507 of the family's 1533-position model. The record is from RNAcentral.